Molecule: unclassified non-coding RNA, 253 nt
Filed under: uncultured Kofleriaceae bacterium
Lineage: Bacteria; Pseudomonadati; Myxococcota; Haliangiales; Kofleriaceae
Description: contains 16S-23S intergenic spacer region
Rfam family: Bacterial small subunit ribosomal RNA
Source: RNAcentral
UACGGAGGAUGCAAACGUUGCUCGGAAUCAUUGGGCGUAAAGCGCACGUAGGCGGCACGUUAAGUCGGAUGUGAAAGCCCUCGGCUCAACCGAGGAAGUGCAUUCGAAACUGGCGAGCUUGAGUAUGGGAGAGGGUUGCGGAAUUCCCGGUGUAGAGGUGAAAUUCGUAGAUAUCGGGAGGAACAUCAGUGGCGAAGGCGGCAGCCUGGACCAAUACUGACGCUGAGGUGCGAAAGCGUGGGGAGCAAACAGG